Molecule: long non-coding RNA, 843 nt
Organism: Planococcus citri (citrus mealybug)
Lineage: Eukaryota; Metazoa; Arthropoda; Insecta; Hemiptera; Pseudococcidae
Exons: 5
Source: RefSeq, a predicted model, not a curated record
UUUCACACACUGAAUGCAUGAAAAAGCGGAACCGAUCAUUCGCGGGUUAAUAUUUUGAUAAAAAUUGCAAAAGUUUUACUUACUAAUUAAGUCGUGUGCUAAUCUAUUUUUAAAAUAAGAUCACUACAUAUACGAGAGUACAUAUCUACUUAGUGUGAGAUUGAUGAUAAUAUUGGUUUGAUGUUGUGUCGAAUUUGCCCGAUUCUAGGUUCGUCUUUUUUUAAUGCUGUGAUGUUUUUGAUGUGUUAUUCUAUUCGGUGAUCACUUUGCGAAUCUACGAUUCAGAAGCAAUAUUUAUUUAUGAAAAAUCGUCGUAAUUUACAAGUUAUUGGUAUUUCUCGUUGAAUGACGCAGAUUGCGAUGGAUCUUCAGUUUCGAUUUCGAAAUUCGAUUAUAUACAAUUAUCGAUAAUUUCAUAAUUUGGAAAUUUCUUCAAAGACCUCAUAGUAUAUAAGCUGGAUUGUCGUAUUCUAAAAAGACAAAAACACUGAUAAAAAUAAUAUCCGAAUGAAAGGUACGCUGUGAGAAAUACGAUUCGAGAGCGGAGUUUCAACAGAUGAUUUGAAGAAAAAUCUAUUGGACCGUAAAUUCGUUCCUUAGAAAAGUAUACCCAGUGAUCUUGAUGUUCCUGUUCCUGAGCAAUGAAAGAAUGAUCAUCUUCAUCACCAAAAAUUAUCUAAUGAAUAAUGAAGACGUCUCUCUAGAAAGAGCAUCCCUUAAACUUCUAUGGUCCAAGAAUUCGAUAAUACCAGUGGUUUGAGAGGGGUUUGAAUUGGAUGCCUCAUGUCCAUCUUCAGUCAUAUUCUCAGGUUCUUCUGUUUGAAAUGUGAAAUCCAAUUCUCC